Molecule: ribosomal RNA, 690 nt
Filed under: uncultured archaeon
Lineage: Archaea
Description: bacterial SSU rRNA
Rfam family: Archaeal small subunit ribosomal RNA
Source: RNAcentral
GGACUGCGGCCGAUCAGGCUGUUGGCGGGGUAAUGGCCCACCAAACCUGUAACCGGUACGGGCUUUGAGAGAAGGAGCCCGGAGAUGGACACUGAGACAAGGGUCCAGGCCCUACGGGGCGCAUCAGGCGCGAAAACUUCGCAAUGCGCGAAAGCGUGACGAGGCUAGUCCGAGUGCUUCCUGCUAAAGGGAGCUUUUCUCGGCUGUAAAUAAGCCGGGGAAUAAGGGGAGGGCAAGUCUGGUGUCAGCCGCCGCGGUAAUACCAGCUCCUCGAGUGGUCGGGACGAUUAUUGGGCCUAAAGCACCCGUAGCCGGUUCAGUAAGUCCUCUGUCAAAUCCAGCCGCUCAACGGCUGGCCCGCAGAGGAUACUGCUAGACUAGGAGGCGGGAGAGGCGGACGGUACUCCGCGUGUAGGGGUAAAAUCCUUUGAUCCGCGGAAGACCACCAGUGGCGAAGGCGGUCCGCCAGAACGCGCUCGACGGUGAGGGGUGAAAGCUGGGGGAGCGAACCAGAUUAGAUACCCGGGUAGUCCCAGCCGUAAACGAUGCGAGCUAGAUGAUUCGAUCGCAGUUCGCGAUCGAAGUGUCGCAGGGAAGCCGUUAAGCUCGCCGCCUGGGGAGUACGGUCGCAAGGCUGAAUUGUUGCCGAAUUCUUCGGCAGCACAGUUCACUUAAAGGAAUUGGCGGGGG